This 132-nucleotide small nucleolar RNA is filed under the name Lepisosteus oculatus (spotted gar). RNAcentral's name for it is "Small nucleolar RNA SNORA56 (ENSLOCG00000020689.1)". The record is from RNAcentral. Lineage: Eukaryota; Metazoa; Chordata; Actinopteri; Semionotiformes; Lepisosteidae.
AAGCAGAUGGUUAUCCCUUUCUUGUCUGGUUAUGUGGCUUUAGAGGGAGUUGGUCUGCAAAAUUAUCAAGAGGAAGCCUUCACAGUCCAGCAUACUUCCAUUGAAUGGUGGACUUUGGCCUGCUCUACAUUA